CCUACGGGAGGCAGCAGUGAGGAAUAUUGGACAAUGGGCGCAAGCCUGAUCCAGCCAUGCCGCGUGCAGGAAGACGGUCCUAUGGAUUGUAAACUGCUUUUAUACAGGAAGAAAUACUUUCUCGUGAGAGAGCUUGACGGUACUGUAAGAAUAAGGAUCGGCUAACUCCGUGCCAGCAGCCGCGGUAAUACGGAGGAUCCAAGCGUUAUCCGGAAUCAUUGGGUUUAAAGGGUCCGUAGGCGGUUUAAUAAGUCAGUGGUGAAAUCUGGUCGCUCAACGAUCAAACGGCCAUUGAUACUGUUAGACUUGAAUUAUUGUGAAGUAACUAGAAUAUGUAGUGUAGCGGUGAAAUGCUUAGAUAUUACAUGGAAUACCAAUUGCGAAGGCAGGUUACUAACAAUGGAUUGACGCUGAUGGACGAAAGCGUGGGGAGCGAACAGGAUUAGAUACCCUGGUAGUCCACGCCGUAAACGAUGGAUACUAGCUGUUGGGCGCAAGUUCAGUGGCUAAGCGAAAGUGAUAAGUAUCCCACCUGGGGAGUACGUUCGCAGAUGAAACUCAAAGGAAUUGACGG
RNAcentral lists this ribosomal RNA (574 nucleotides) under uncultured bacterium. RNAcentral's name for it is "bacterial SSU rRNA". It matches the Rfam family "Bacterial small subunit ribosomal RNA", at positions 338 to 916 of the family's 1533-position model. The record is from RNAcentral.